AGCGAACGCUGGCGGCAGGCCUAACACAUGCAAGUCGAACGAACUCUUCGGAGUUAGUGGCGGACGGGUGAGUAACACGUGGGAACGUGCCUUUUGGCUCGGAAUAACUCAGGGAAACUUGUGCUAAUACCGAAUGUGCCCUUCGGGGGAAAGAUUUAUCGCCAUUAGAGCGGCCCGCGUCUGAUUAGCUAGUUGGUGAGGUAACGGCCCACCAAGGCGACGAUCAGUAGCUGGUCUGAGAGGAUGACCAGCCACACUGGGACUGAGACACGGCGCAGACUCCUACGGGAGGCAGCAGUGGGGAAUCUUGCGCAAUGGGCGAAAGCCUGACGCAGCCAUGCCGCGUGAAUGAUGAAGGUCUUAGGAUUGUAAAAUUCUUUCACCGGGGACGAUAAUGACGGUACCCGGAGAAGAAGCCCCGGCUAACUUCGUG
RNAcentral lists this ribosomal RNA (433 nucleotides) under uncultured bacterium. RNAcentral describes it as "partial 16S ribosomal RNA". It matches the Rfam family "Bacterial small subunit ribosomal RNA", at positions 29 to 507 of the family's 1533-position model. The record is from RNAcentral.